Molecule: ribosomal RNA, 253 nt
Filed under: uncultured bacterium
Lineage: Bacteria
Description: partial 16S ribosomal RNA
Rfam family: Bacterial small subunit ribosomal RNA
Source: RNAcentral
UACGUAGGUGACCAGCGUUGUCCGGAUUUACUGGGCGUAAAGAGCGCGCAGGCGGUCGUUCAAGUCGAGUGUGAAAGCCCCCGGCUCAACUGGGGAGGGUCACUCGAUACUGAUCGACUUGAAGGCAGGAGAGGGAAGCGGAAUUCCCGGUGUAGUGGUGAAAUGCGUAGAUAUCGGGAGGAACACCAGUGGCGAAGGCGGCUUCCUGGACCGGCAUUGACGCUGAGGCGCGAAAGCCAGGGGAGCAAACGGG